Molecule: long non-coding RNA, 1244 nt
Organism: Puntigrus tetrazona (Sumatra barb)
Lineage: Eukaryota; Metazoa; Chordata; Actinopteri; Cypriniformes; Cyprinidae
Exons: 3
Source: RefSeq, a predicted model, not a curated record
CCGUGAUGCAUAAAGAGACAGUUCACCGGGUUUUGGAGAACUAAGCAACAGUGCAUAAUAAGGCCUCCCCCCGGAGACCAGCCCACUGCUGGGAGCGCCAUGUGGCUGAUUGUCAACCUUCGCUCUCCCCACUCUCUCUCCAUCACGUAGCUGCGGGAGGCCCUGAAACGCUUCCAAUCCAAGCAGAUUAUUCGGAGAUAAAGACUCGGCGACAAGAGCUCUCCGAAGGACACUCGGUUUUCCAUUUGCAGCUGUAUUAUUCCAAGAGUCGGUGGCAUCUGCGUGACUCUUCCAGAGAUGCGUUUCCUGCGCUCUGCUUCCCACUGGCACAAAUAGAUGAACAGAUUUCCGUCUCAUAAACAAGGUUCUGGUUCCACUGAGUGAUUGUGUAUGAAUUGCACUUAAUCAGCUCCUGUGUUCAAAUAUCGGCUCUGGCUGCCAAGCAUCGGGUCUGCUUAUAUACUCAUUAGUAGCUCCCCCUGUCCUCCGAGGCCUCGGCGUCAACAUCUAAACCGAAUUAUGCGGCUUAUCCUGAACCGAGAGAACGUCUUCUGUUUUCAAAACAAAUCAUGAGAAUAUUCAGCCCCUGUCCGAGGAAAGGCAACCCGAGGAAGUGUUGUCUUGCUCAGCGGCUCCCAUCUGACUUCUGUGAAGUAUGUAAAUACAGUAAAACGCUCGCACCUCAAGGCAGAGGAAGAGGAUGAAGGUCAGUCGUGGACUGAAGCUGCUUUGUGCUGCAGGAACGCUUGACAGUGUGCAUGAAUAAGUCCUGUGAUUCGUGCAUUACACUUGACGCCAUUUUUUCAAAUGAUAAAAAGGCGACUGAGUAAAGCAGUGCUUUUAAAUGAAGACGUUUUAACACACAAUCUCGCGUGAUAGAUGUUUUUUUAUCAAUUGAUAAGGCAUUUGUUAAUUACGUUUUGCAAGUAAUACAUUACCUUUUUCAUUAAUUACAAUUACAAUAUCUUUUAUUAUACGAUUUUCAGCAAAACGUUUGUGCAAAACUAUUAGUUAAAAUGAACGAGCCUAAUAAAAGAACUAUUUAUCAUUUAUUAUACAUUUUAAUUAAAUUAUUGCAAAUCAUUUUUGGAUUUAUUACAAAUGUGUUGCAUUUUGAUAGACAUUGAUUUUAGUAGAUAAAUGCGACAAAAUUAAAAUGCUCGUAAUUUAUGUAAAUGUUAAAAAAUGUGGAAAUGUUGCAAAAUUGUAUAAAAAUAAAAAGACUUAAGAAAUAAGGAUUUUUA